CCUACGGGUGGCAGCAGUGAGGAAUAUUGGUCAAUGGGCGUAAGCCUGAACCAGCCAAGUCGCGUGAGGGAUGAAGGUUCUAUGGAUCGUAAACCUCUUUUAUACUGGAAUAAAGUGUGGGACGAGUCCUGUUUUGUCUGUACCUUAUGAAUAAGGAUCGGCUAACUCCGUGCCAGCAGCCGCGGUAAUACGGAGAAUCCGAGCGUUAUCCGGAUUUAUUGGGUUUAAAGGGUGCGUAGGCGGCCUUUUAAGUCAGCGGUGAAAGUCUGUGGCUCAACCAUAGAAUUGCCGUUGAAACUGGGAGGCUUGAGUAUGUUUGAGGCAGGCGGAAUGCGUGGUGUAGCGGUGAAAUGCUUAGAUAGCACGCAGAACCCCGAUUGCGAAGGCAGCCUGCCAAGCCAUGACUGACGCUGAUGCACGAAAGCGUGGGGAUCAAACAGGAUUAGAUACCCUUGUAGUC
This 460-nucleotide ribosomal RNA is filed under the name uncultured bacterium. Its description in RNAcentral is "partial 16S ribosomal RNA". It matches the Rfam family "Bacterial small subunit ribosomal RNA", at positions 338 to 795 of the family's 1533-position model. The record is from RNAcentral.